This 491-nucleotide ribosomal RNA is filed under the name uncultured bacterium. RNAcentral's name for it is "bacterial SSU rRNA". It matches the Rfam family "Bacterial small subunit ribosomal RNA", at positions 40 to 507 of the family's 1533-position model. The record is from RNAcentral.
CGGCGUGCCUAACACAUGCAAGUCGUACGAGAAAGCCGGCUUCGGCUGGUGAGUAAAGUGGCGCACGGGUGAGUAACGCGUGGAUAAUCUGCCCUUAAGUGUGGAAUAACGUACCGAAAGGUGCGCUAAUACCGCAUAAUGCCUGGCAACACAAGUUGUCCGGCCAAAGAAGGCCUCUGUUUACAAGCUUUCGCUUCAGGAUGAGUCCGCGUACCAUUAGCUUGUUGGUGGGGUAAUGGCCUACCAAGGCUGCGAUGGUUAGCUGGUCUGAGAGGAUGAUCAGCCACACUGGAACUGAGACACGGUCCAGACUCCUACGGGAGGCAGCAGUGAGGAAUAUUGCGCAAUGGGGGCAACCCUGACGCAGCAACGCCGCGUGAGUGAGGAAGGUUUUCGGACUGUAAAGCUCUGUCGAGCGGGAAGAAGUGUACCAUGGCUAAUAUCCAUGAUAUUUGAUGGUACCGCUAGAGGAAGCACCGGCUAACUCCGUG